This 59-nucleotide microRNA precursor is filed under the name Limulus polyphemus (Atlantic horseshoe crab). Its description in RNAcentral is "Lpo-Mir-252-P1f_pre stem-loop". Lineage: Eukaryota; Metazoa; Arthropoda; Merostomata; Xiphosura; Limulidae. The record is from RNAcentral.
UUAAGUAGUUGUGCCGCAGGUAAUGAUGUUGGUGCUUACGUGCGUAUGACUACUUAACA